This 336-nucleotide ribosomal RNA is filed under the name uncultured Bacillota bacterium. Its description in RNAcentral is "bacterial SSU rRNA". It matches the Rfam family "Bacterial small subunit ribosomal RNA", at positions 28 to 351 of the family's 1533-position model. The record is from RNAcentral. Lineage: Bacteria; Bacillati; Bacillota.
GACGAACGCUGGCGGCGUGCCUAACACAUGCAAGUCGAACGGAGAUUUCAGCAAUGGAAUCUUAGUGGCGAACGGGUGAGUAACGCGUAGACAACCUGCCUUCUAGAUGGGGACAACACUGCGAAAGUGGUGCUAAUACCGAAUGUUGUAUUGAGAAUGCAUAUUUUUGAUACUAAAGAUGGCCUCUAUAUAUAAGCUAUCGCUAGAAGAUGGGUCUGCGUCUGAUUAGCUAGUUGGUGAGGUAAUGGCUCACCAAGGCGACGAUCAGUAGCCGGUCUGAGAGGAUGAACGGCCACACUGGGACUGAGACACGGCCCAGACUCCUACGGGUGGCUG